UCCUCUCCUUUGUGUUUUACACUUUAGAAAAAAAAAUCAGAAAACUCUCUCUAGCCUAGCCGUGAGUUCUACCACCCUCUAGUCAUCUCCACGAGUUCAAGCAAGGCCAAAGGAAGAAGAAGAAUUGCCGUGAGCAUCAUCCUCCAUCACCAUCCUUGACGCUUGCUUUCGAGAUUCAAGAGACCACCUCCUCAAUUUGUUCAUCUCAUCUUCAUCCACGGUGUAAUCUGAUUCUCCUUUGUAACCUUUGCUUUGAAUUUCGUUGGUUAUGAACUAGUUGACAUAUAUGUAUGAACAAAAUUCAUAUAUUGCGAUUUAUGGUUGCUUUUGUGUGAGUGUUUGAUUAAAUUUGCAUGAUAGAUAACUUUUGUAUUUUAAUCUUAUGUGGUUGCAAACACUUAGGGUUUUGAUAUAAUUGGUGCUAGGUUUAAGAACAUGAAUUCGACUUUUCGUUUUGUGUAAACUUGAAUCAAAGUAGUAAAGGUUUUGGACAAAGAUCGAAUUUAACCAAAGAGAAUUGCAAUUAGGUGGACUUUUUCAUACUAAGUUGCACACUUGAGUUGAUAGCCUUUCUAGGUGCUUAUUGCGUCGAAUAUGUUGUGUUUGACUAGCUUUCUAGGGCUUGCAUGCAUGUUUGAUAGGAUUAGUCUUUGUGCUUUCACUUAGAUUAAUUAGCAUUGAAAAGUAAAAUAUGGGAAAUUGUUUGCUUUUAACGUUUC
This 719-nucleotide long non-coding RNA is filed under the name Rosa chinensis. Its description in RNAcentral is "sRNA RchiOBHm_Chr6g0270641". Lineage: Eukaryota; Viridiplantae; Streptophyta; Magnoliopsida; Rosales; Rosaceae. The record is from RNAcentral.